Molecule: ribosomal RNA, 120 nt
Filed under: Picosynechococcus sp. PCC 7002
Lineage: Bacteria; Bacillati; Cyanobacteriota; Cyanophyceae; Chroococcales; Geminocystaceae
Source: RNAcentral
UGCUUGGUGUUUCUAGCAUAGUGGAACCACACUGAUUCCAUCCCGAACUCAGAUGUGAAACGCUAUAGCGGCGACGAUACCUGUGGGGUAGCCUACCGGGAAAAUAGCUCAAUGCCAAGC